Molecule: ribosomal RNA, 425 nt
Filed under: uncultured bacterium
Lineage: Bacteria
Description: partial 16S ribosomal RNA
Rfam family: Bacterial small subunit ribosomal RNA
Source: RNAcentral
GUGGGGAAUCUUAGACAAUGGGCGCAAGCCUGAUCUAGCCAUGCCGCGUGAGCGAUGAAGGCCUUAGGGUUGUAAAGCUCUUUCGUGGGGGAAGAUAAUGACUGUACCCCAAGAAGAAGCCCCGGCUAACUCCGUACCAGCAGCCGCGGUAAUACGGAGGGGGCUAGCGUUGUUCGGAAUUACUGGGCGUAAAGCGCACGUAGGCGGACCAGAAAGUCAGAGGUGAAAGCCCGGGGCUCAACCCCGGCACUGCCUUUGAAACUCCUGGUCUUGAGGUCUAGAGAGGUGGGUGGAAUUCCGAGUGUAGAGGUGAAAUUCGUAGAUAUUCGGAGGAACACCAGUGGCGAAUGCGGCCCACUGGCUCUAGACUGACGCUGAGGUGCGAAAGCGUGGGGAGCAAACAGGAUUAGAAACCCGAGUAGUCC